RNAcentral lists this ribosomal RNA (495 nucleotides) under uncultured bacterium. Its description in RNAcentral is "partial 16S ribosomal RNA". It matches the Rfam family "Bacterial small subunit ribosomal RNA", at positions 30 to 507 of the family's 1533-position model. The record is from RNAcentral.
UGAACGCUGGCGGCGUGCCUAAUACAUGCAAGUCGAGCGAACAGACGAGGAGCUUGCUCCUCUGACGUUAGCGGCGGACGGGUGAGUAACACGUGGAUAACCUACCUAUAAGACUGGGAUAACUUCGGGAAACCGGAGCUAAUACCGGAUAAUAUAUUGAACCGCAUGGUUCAAUAGUGAAAGACGGUUUUGCUGUCACUUAUAGAUGGAUCCGCGCCGCAUUAGCUAGUUGGUAAGGUAACGGCUUACCAAGGCAACGAUGCGUAGCCGACCUGAGAGGGUGAUCGGCCACACUGGAACUGAGACACGGUCCAGACUCCUACGGGAGGCAGCAGUAGGGAAUCUGCCGCAAUGGGCGAAAGCCUGACGGAGCAACGCCGCGUGAGUGAUGAAGGUCUUCGGAUCGUAAAACUCUGUUAUUAGGGAAGAACAAAUGUGUAAGUAACUAUGCACGUCUUGACGGUACCUAAUCAGAAAGCCACGGCUAACUACGUG